Molecule: long non-coding RNA, 1479 nt
Filed under: Gallus gallus (chicken)
Lineage: Eukaryota; Metazoa; Chordata; Aves; Galliformes; Phasianidae
Description: lncRNA (ENSGALG00010017291.1)
Source: RNAcentral
CUCUUUCCAGGGAUUGCUCCUCUUGGAGUUUUUUUCCGUGAGCCUACAACACAGGUAGCUGGUUAUAGGCAGUAGGAUGAUCUCCUCUUAGCUUACCUUCUCUGGAGCUGAACAAACCCAGUUCCCCAGCCUCUCCCACAGCGUCCUGUGCUUCAGCCCUCACCUAUCUUUGUGACCUCUUCUGGACACACUCCAGCAUGAAAAAAAGAUAAACUUCAGUACUUUGGGGAUCAACGUGGAAUAUCUGAGCAGAGAAACUGAAUUGCCUUUACUGUGAGGAACAAAGUCCAAAUUAUGUGUUUUCAGAUAAGUUAUAACUGUUCAGGACUAGUUCUACAGAAGAGAUGCACAUUCACACACUUAAAUGUUAUGCUACUAAUUUUUAUUGGGAUUUUCUAAAAUCUUUCUGCUUGGUACAUUCACAGAAAUUUAACAUGAUUUAUUCUAUAGGCUUUUCUACCUGUAAUCGUAUUAUCUAUGGAAAUGGUAGCCUUUACUUUUUAAUACGGUUUCCUUCCCCUUUGUUGCUCUAAAACAACAAAGCAGAACUCCAUGUAUCCUGCUCGGAUGUUGACUGGGUUCUCUUAUUAUCUGUAUUCACUGUUCAUGUUUUUGUUCUGUAUUAACUUUGCUCAGAUUUUAUCACUUGAGGCUGGCUCAGUUAAAAAUAAGUUUAGAAAUUUUAUUAAUCAGCGUCAUAUUGUGUGCAUCAUUCUCAGUUUGUAUAAUUUAAACUAGUACAUGAAAAAAUUAUUAAUAGUGUACAAUUUUUUAGUUGUACUAUUAUAUGAAGAUAAAUAUAUAGAUGUGUAUUACAGUAUUCUUUUAUCUGUAUUAUUCAGAACGGCAUUAAACAUUCAUAUAUUUUUGGGUGUACCUGGAGCUAUCUCAUCAAGCUAAUAAUUAGGCAUUAGGAAUAAACACCUGUCUCCAUGGCCUGGAGCUCCCAUUUUUUAUUGAAAUUUAUGCCAGAGAUGGUUUACACAUAUCCAUCCCUUUUGAAAGUGAAAGUGGAUUUACUAUAAUUCAUUUUUAGAGAAAAAACUUGAGUACAAAGUGCUUCUUCUCUCUCUUACUGUAACUUUUGAUGGUUGAAGAUUCUAAAAGUGGAGGGGUGUGGAGAAAAGAAUGGAAUAUAUGCGUAGAAAUCAGAUACUGGCAGUGAUAGAAAGAAUAUGUUUGAUUUGAAUGUUCCAAAGCACUUACAGGACUGACUAUAAUAUAUUCAAUUCACAUUCAAUUUUUAGAGUGCAUAUUUGUUGAGAAGAAAUGUCAGUAUAUGCUAUUUCUAUAAUUAGCCCUAUUGGUGUUUUUACUUCUAAUAGAGAAAUAAUGUCCAUAUUUUUGUAUUUGAAAACUGCUGACUUAAAAAUGUAAAAGUCUUUUCUGACGUGAAAAAAGAAAGAGGUAUUAAUUUUCUAUUGCAGUGUUGCCUGAAGAAAUACAAGUGCUCAAUUAAAUAUCUAAGACAAAUACAAC